RNAcentral lists this ribosomal RNA (460 nucleotides) under uncultured bacterium. Its description in RNAcentral is "partial 16S ribosomal RNA". It matches the Rfam family "Bacterial small subunit ribosomal RNA", at positions 338 to 795 of the family's 1533-position model. The record is from RNAcentral.
ACUACGGGUGACAGCAGUGAGGAAUAUUGGUCAAUGGACGAGAGUCUGAACCAGCCAAGUAGCGUGAAGGAUGAUUGCCCUAUGGGUUGUAAACUUCUUUUAUAUGGGAAUAAAACGUUCCACGUGUGGGAUUUUGUAUGUACCAUAUGAAUAAGGAUCGGCUAACUCCGUGCCAGCAGCCGCGGUAAUACGGAGGAUCCGAGCGUUAUACGGAGUUAGUGGGUUUAAAGGGAGCGUAGGUGGAUUGUUAAGUCAGUUGUGAAAGUUUGCGGCUCAAACGUAAAAUUGCAGUUGAAACUGGCAGUCUUGAGUACAGUAGAGGUGGGCGGAAUUCGUGGUGUAGCUGUGAAAUGCUUAGAUAUCACGAAGAACUCCGAUUGCGAAGGCAGUUCACUGGACUGCAACUGACACUGAGGCUCGAAAGUGUGGGUAUCAAACAGGAUUAGAUACCCGAGUAGUC